RNAcentral lists this ribosomal RNA (449 nucleotides) under uncultured bacterium. RNAcentral describes it as "partial 16S ribosomal RNA". It matches the Rfam family "Bacterial small subunit ribosomal RNA", at positions 29 to 523 of the family's 1533-position model. The record is from RNAcentral.
AAUGAACGCUGGCGGCAGGCCUAACACAUGCAAGUCGAACGGAUCCUUCGGGAUUAGUGGCGGACGGGUGAGUAACGCGUGGGAACAUACCCAAAGGUACGGAAUAGCCUCGGGAAACUGGGAGUAAUACCGUAUGUGCUCGAAAGAGGAAAGAUUUAUCGCCUUUGGAUUGGCCCGCGUUGGAUUAGGUAGUUGGUGGGGUAAUGGCCUACCAAGCCGACGAUCCAUAGCUGGUUUGAGAGGAAGAUCAGCCACACUGGGACUGAGACACGGCCCAGACUCCUACGGGAGGCAGCAGUGGGGAAUCUUAGACAAUGGGGGAAACCCUGAUCUAGCCAUGCCGCGUGAUCGAUGAAGGCCUUAGGGUUGUAAAGAUCUUUCAGUGGGGAAGAUAAUGACUGUACCCACAGAAGAAGCCCCGGCUAACUCCGUGCCAGCAGCAGCCGCCG